GUGGGGAAUAUUGGACAAUGGGCGCAAGCCUGAUCCAGCCAUGCCGCGUGAGUGAUGAAGGCCCUAGGGUUGUAAAGCUCUUUCACCAGUGAAGAUAAUGACGGUAACCGGAGAAGAAGCCCCGGCUAACUUCGUGCCAGCAGCCGCGGUAAUACGAAGGGGGCUAGCGUUGUUCGGAAUUACUGGGCGUAAAGCGCACGUAGGCGGACAUUUAAGUGAGGGGUGAAAUCCCGGGGCUCAACCCCGGAACUGCCAUUGAUACUGUGUAUCUUGAAUAUGAGAGAGGUAGGCGGAAUGUUGCAUGUAGCGGUGAAAUGCUUAGAUAUGCUACGGAACACCGAUUGCGAAGGCAGCUUACUAUUUCGUAAUUGACGCUGAGGCACGAAAGCGUGGGUAGCGAACAGGAUUAGAAACCCCAGUAGUCC
Molecule: ribosomal RNA, 425 nt
Filed under: uncultured bacterium
Lineage: Bacteria
Description: partial 16S ribosomal RNA
Rfam family: Bacterial small subunit ribosomal RNA
Source: RNAcentral